RNAcentral lists this ribosomal RNA (406 nucleotides) under uncultured bacterium. Its description in RNAcentral is "partial 16S ribosomal RNA". It matches the Rfam family "Bacterial small subunit ribosomal RNA", at positions 30 to 526 of the family's 1533-position model. The record is from RNAcentral.
AUUGAACGCUGGCGGCAGGCCUAACACAUGCAAGUCGAACGAGUGGCGGACGGGUGAGUAAUGUCUGGGAAACUGCCCGAUGGAGGGGGAUAACUACUGGAAACGGUAGCUAAUACCGCAUACCAUCGGAUGUGCCCAGAGUGGAUUAGAUUGUAGGUGAGGUAACGGCUCACCUCGGAGACGAUCCCUAGCUGGUCUGAGAGGAUGACCAGCGACACUGGAACUGAUACACGGUCCAGACUCCUACGGUAGGCAGCAGUGGGGAAUAUUGCGCAAUUGGCGCAAGCCUGAUGCAGCCACGGCUGGUGUAUGAAGAAGGCCUUCGGGUUUUAAAGUAAUUUCAUCGGUGAGGCGUUCCCCGCAUAAGAAGCUCCGGCUAAUCCCGUGCCAGCCGCCGCUGUAAUAC